GAUGAAGAACGUAGCGAAAUGCGAUAAGUAAUGUGAAUUGCAGAAUUCAGUGAAUCAUCGAAUCUUUGAACGCACCUUGCACCCUUUGGUAUUCCGAAGGGUAUGCUGGUUUGAGUGUCAUUGUACUCUCACACUUCUAAUUCCUUUCGGGAUUGGGAGCGGUGGACUUGGGUGUUGCUGCUUUAGUUGUGGCUCACCUCAAAUAAGUUAGUGCAACUCUUGGUUGGACAUAGUACGGCGUGAUAAGUGUCUUCGCCGGCGCCUCUGUAAGGAGGGUGGCCGAUCGGGAGCUCUGUGCUUCAAACCGUCUUCGGACAAUCUUUGACAACUUGACCUCAAAUCGAGUAGGACUACCCGCUGAACUUAAGCAUAUCAAUAAGCGGAGGA
RNAcentral lists this unclassified non-coding RNA (387 nucleotides) under soil metagenome. RNAcentral describes it as "partial contains 5.8S ribosomal RNA, internal transcribed spacer 2, and large subunit ribosomal RNA". The stretch from base 1 to 120 matches the Rfam family "5.8S ribosomal RNA", at positions 35 to 154 of the family's 154-position model. The record is from RNAcentral.